This 76-nucleotide transfer RNA is filed under the name Hyphomicrobiaceae bacterium. RNAcentral's name for it is "tRNA-Ile". It matches the Rfam family "tRNA". Rfam says of the family: Transfer RNA (tRNA) molecules are approximately 80 nucleotides in length. Lineage: Bacteria; Pseudomonadati; Pseudomonadota; Alphaproteobacteria; Hyphomicrobiales; Hyphomicrobiaceae. The record is from RNAcentral.
GGAACGGGAGCACGGUGGUAAGUGCAAUCGCCUUAUAAGCGAUAGGUUGAGGGUUCAAUCCCCUCCCGUUCUACCC